UACGAAGGGGGCUAGCGUUGCUCGGAAUUACUGGGCGUAAAGGGCGCGUAGGCGGAUAUUUAAGUCGGGGGUGAAAGCCCGGGGCUCAACCUCGGAAUUGCCUUCGAUACUGGAUAUCUUGAGUUCGGGAGAGGUGAGUGGAAUGCCGAGUGUAGAGGUGAAAUUCGUAGAUAUUCGGAAGAACACCAGUGGCGAAGGCGGCUCACUGGACGACUGUUGACGCUGAGGUACGAAAGCGUGGGGAGCAAACAGG
This 253-nucleotide ribosomal RNA is filed under the name uncultured bacterium. RNAcentral describes it as "partial 16S ribosomal RNA". It matches the Rfam family "Bacterial small subunit ribosomal RNA", at positions 524 to 776 of the family's 1533-position model. The record is from RNAcentral.